GGGGCUGUAGCUUAGUGGUAAAGUAUGUGUUUGGCAUGCAUGAGGCUGUGAGUUCAAUCCUCAGCACUUCA
Molecule: transfer RNA, 71 nt
Filed under: Ictidomys tridecemlineatus (thirteen-lined ground squirrel)
Lineage: Eukaryota; Metazoa; Chordata; Mammalia; Rodentia; Sciuridae
Description: Spermophilus tridecemlineatus (thirteen-lined ground squirrel) tRNA
Rfam family: tRNA
About the family: Transfer RNA (tRNA) molecules are approximately 80 nucleotides in length. Their secondary structure includes four short double-helical elements and three loops (D, anti-codon, and T loops). Further hydrogen bonds mediate the characteristic L-shaped molecular structure. tRNAs have two regions of fundamental functional importance: the anti-codon, which is responsible for specific mRNA codon recognition, and the 3' end, to which the tRNAs corresponding amino acid is attached (by aminoacyl-tRNA synthetases). tRNAs cope with the degeneracy of the genetic code in two manners: having more than one tRNA (with a specific anti-codon) for a particular amino acid; and 'wobble' base-pairing, i.e. permitting non-standard base-pairing at the 3rd anti-codon position.
Source: Rfam by way of RNAcentral